This 32-nucleotide small RNA is filed under the name Bombyx mori (domestic silkworm). Its description in RNAcentral is "ovarian small RNA-36577". The record is from RNAcentral. Lineage: Eukaryota; Metazoa; Arthropoda; Insecta; Lepidoptera; Bombycidae.
UUACGUAUGUGUUCGUGCUCAAAUAUGAGCCU